CCUACGGGCGGCAGCAGUAGGGAAUCUUUCACAAUGGGCGAAAGCCUGAUGGAGCAACGCUGCGUGCAGGAUGAAGGCCUUCGGGUUGUAAACUGCUUUUAUAAGCGAGAAAUAUGAUGGUAACUUAUGAAUAAGGAUCGGCUAACUACGUGCCAGCAGCCGCGGUCAUACGUAGGAUCCGAGCAUUAUCCGGAGUGACUGGGUGUAAAGAGUUGCGUAGGUGGCAUAAUAAGUAGCUAGUGAAAUCUGGUGGCUCAACCAUUCAGACUAUUAGCUAAACUGUUAAGCUCGAGACCGUUAGGGGUAACUGGAAUUUCUAGUGUAGGAGUGAAAUCCGUAGAUAUUAGAAGGAACACCAAUAGCGUAGGCAGGUUGCUGGGACGGUUCUGACACUAAGGCACGAAAGCGUAGGGAGCAAACGGGAUUAGAUACCCGAGUAGUC
Molecule: ribosomal RNA, 442 nt
Filed under: uncultured bacterium
Lineage: Bacteria
Description: partial 16S ribosomal RNA
Rfam family: Bacterial small subunit ribosomal RNA
Source: RNAcentral